Long non-coding RNA from Suricata suricatta (meerkat), 226 nucleotides. RefSeq lists it as uncharacterized. The record is from RefSeq and is a predicted model, not a curated record. The transcript has 3 exons. Lineage: Eukaryota; Metazoa; Chordata; Mammalia; Carnivora; Herpestidae.
CUGUGGAACACCUGUGGCAGGCCAGACACUGCAGGGUGCUCUUGGAGCCAUGAAGGUUGAGUCUCUGUAGGAUGAGGUCACUGAAGAUUUUGACCGUGGCUGUGAAUGACAGUGAAGUGUGAGCAUCCUCUGAGACGUCAGCUUUCCACAGGAGCCAAUGAAGCAACAAACCUAUUGUUGGAAAAUGGAUUCUCCGGGGAGGGUGCCAGGGGGACCCUGGGCUCGU